Molecule: ribosomal RNA, 639 nt
Filed under: uncultured bacterium
Lineage: Bacteria
Description: bacterial SSU rRNA
Rfam family: Bacterial small subunit ribosomal RNA (bases 1-543)
Source: RNAcentral
CCUACGGGAGGCAGCAGUGGGGAAUUUUGGACAAUGGGCGCAAGCCUGAUCCAGCAAUGCCGCGUGAGUGAAGAAGGCCUUCGGGUUGUAAAGCUCUUUUGUCAGGGAAGAAACGGUGUGGGCUAAUAUCCCGCACUAAUGACGGUACCUGAAGAAUAAGCACCGGCUAACUACGUGCCAGCAGCCGCGGUAAUACGUAGGGUGCAAGCGUUAAUCGGAAUUACUGGGCGUAAAGCGUGCGCAGGCGGUUUUGUAAGUCUGUCGUGAAAUCCCCGGGCUCAACCUGGGAAUUGCGAUGGAGACUGCAAGGCUAGAAUCUGGCAGAGGGGGGGUAGAAUUCCACGUGUAGCAGUGAAAUGCGUAGAGAUGUGGAGGAACACCGGAUGGCGAAGGCAGCCCCCUGGGUCAAGAUUGACGCUCAUGCACGAAAGCGUGGGGAGCAAACAGGAUUAGAUACCCUGGUAGUCCACGCCCUAAACGAUGUCUACUAGUUGUUCGGGUUUUAAUUACGUUAGUAACGCAGCUACGCGUGAGUAGACCGCCGUCGGGAGGUACGGUCGGUCGAGUUAAGUUAAACUAACGUUAAGUUAGUAAGUUAGAGGCGUGAGACGNGCCGACGGACGACGACGAGGGAGGAGG